UUCCCGGUGGUGUAAUCGGUAACACAGCAGGUUUUGGUCCUGCUAUUCGAGGUUCGAGUCCUCGCCGGGAAGCCA
This 75-nucleotide transfer RNA is filed under the name Planctomycetota bacterium. RNAcentral's name for it is "tRNA-Gln". It matches the Rfam family "tRNA". Rfam says of the family: Transfer RNA (tRNA) molecules are approximately 80 nucleotides in length. Lineage: Bacteria; Pseudomonadati; Planctomycetota. The record is from RNAcentral.